GCAAGUCGAACGAAGUAGCAAUACUUAGUGGCAGACGGGUGAGUAACAUGUGGGUAUCUACCCUUUGGCCUGGAAUAACACGAGGAAACUUGUGCUAAUACCGGAUAAGUCUUUACGGAGAAAGCUUUAUGCACCAUUGGAUGAGCCCGCACUUGAUUAGUUUGUUGGUAGGGUAAUGGCCUACCAAGACUAUGAUCAAUAGCUGAUUUGAGAGGAUGAUCAGCCACAUUGGGACUGAGACACGGCCCAAACUCCUACGGGAGGCAGCAGUGGGGAAUCUUGCACAAUGGAGGAAACUCUGAUGCAGCGAUGCCGCGUGAGUGAAGAAGGCCUUUGGGUUGUAAAGCUCUUUCGUCGGGGAAGAAAAUGACUGCACCCGAAUAAGAAGGUCCGGCUAACUUCGUGCCAGCAGCCGCGGUAAUACGAAGGGACCUAGCGUAGUUCGGAAUUACUGGGCUUAAAGAGUUCGUAGGUGGUUGAAAAAGUUGGUGGUGAAAUCCCAGAGCUUAACUCUGGAACUGCCAUCAAAACUUUUCAGCUAGAGUAUGAUAGAGGAAAGCAGAAUUUCUAGUGUAGAGGUGA
RNAcentral lists this ribosomal RNA (582 nucleotides) under uncultured bacterium. Its description in RNAcentral is "bacterial SSU rRNA". It matches the Rfam family "Bacterial small subunit ribosomal RNA", at positions 57 to 684 of the family's 1533-position model. The record is from RNAcentral.